UACGAGGGGGGCAAGCGUUGUUCGGAAUUAUUGGGCGUAAAGGGUGCGUAGGCGGUUUGGUAAGUCUUGUGUGAAAUCUCUGGGCUCAACUCAGAGACUGCACGAGAAACUGCCGGGCUUGAGUGUGGGAGAGGUGAGUGGAAUUUCCGGUGUAGCGGUGAAAUGCGUAGAUAUCGGAAGGAACACCUGUGGCGAAAGCGGCUCACUGGACCACAACUGACGCUGAUGCACGAAAGCUAGGGGAGCAAACAGG
RNAcentral lists this ribosomal RNA (253 nucleotides) under uncultured bacterium. RNAcentral describes it as "partial 16S ribosomal RNA". It matches the Rfam family "Bacterial small subunit ribosomal RNA", at positions 524 to 776 of the family's 1533-position model. RNAcentral also lists the same sequence under 1 other name. The record is from RNAcentral.